CCUACGGGUGGCUGCAGUGGGGAAUAUUGGACAAUGGGCGAAAGCCUGAUCCAGCCAUGCCGCGUGUGUGAAGAAGGCCUUCGGGUUGUAAAGCACUUUCAGUGGGGAAGAAAGCCUUGGGGCUAAUACCCUCGAGGAAGGACAUCACCCACAGAAGAAGCACCGGCUAACUCCGUGCCAGCAGCCGCGGUAAUACGGAGGGUGCGAGCGUUAAUCGGAAUUACUGGGCGUAAAGCGCGCGUAGGCGGUCUGAUAAGCCGGUUGUGAAAGCCCCGGGCUCAACCUGGGAACGGCAUCCGGAACUGUCAGGCUAGAGUGCAGGAGAGGAAGGUAGAAUUCCCGGUGUAGCGGUGAAAUGCGUAGAGAUCGGGAGGAAUACCAGUGGCGAAGGCGGCCUUCUGGACUGACACUGACGCUGAGGUGCGAAAGCGUGGGUAGCAAACAGGAUUAGAUCCCCUGUAGUC
Molecule: ribosomal RNA, 464 nt
Filed under: Vreelandella stevensii
Lineage: Bacteria; Pseudomonadati; Pseudomonadota; Gammaproteobacteria; Oceanospirillales; Halomonadaceae
Description: partial 16S ribosomal RNA
Rfam family: Bacterial small subunit ribosomal RNA
Source: RNAcentral